Molecule: transfer RNA, 92 nt
Filed under: Clostridia bacterium
Lineage: Bacteria; Bacillati; Bacillota; Clostridia
Description: tRNA-Ser
Rfam family: tRNA
About the family: Transfer RNA (tRNA) molecules are approximately 80 nucleotides in length. Their secondary structure includes four short double-helical elements and three loops (D, anti-codon, and T loops). Further hydrogen bonds mediate the characteristic L-shaped molecular structure. tRNAs have two regions of fundamental functional importance: the anti-codon, which is responsible for specific mRNA codon recognition, and the 3' end, to which the tRNAs corresponding amino acid is attached (by aminoacyl-tRNA synthetases). tRNAs cope with the degeneracy of the genetic code in two manners: having more than one tRNA (with a specific anti-codon) for a particular amino acid; and 'wobble' base-pairing, i.e. permitting non-standard base-pairing at the 3rd anti-codon position.
Source: RNAcentral
GGAGAUGUACUCAAGUUGGCUGAAGAGGCGCCCCUGCUAAGGGUGUAGGUCGGGCAACCGGCGCGGAAGUUCAAAUCUUCUCAUCUCCGCCA